This 173-nucleotide small nucleolar RNA is filed under the name Leptobrachium leishanense (Leishan spiny toad). RNAcentral describes it as "Small Cajal body specific RNA 16 (ENSLLEG00000011324.1)". It matches the Rfam family "Small Cajal body specific RNA 16". Rfam says of the family: scaRNAs are a specific class of small nuclear RNAs which localise to the Cajal bodies and guide the modification of RNA polymerase II transcribed spliceosomal RNAs U1, U2, U4, U5 and U12. ACA47 belongs to the H/ACA box class of guide RNAs as it has the predicted hairpin-hinge-hairpin-tail structure, the conserved H/ACA-box motifs and is found associated with GAR1. ACA47 is predicted to guide the pseudouridylation of residue U5 of the U1 spliceosomal snRNA. The record is from Rfam by way of RNAcentral. Lineage: Eukaryota; Metazoa; Chordata; Amphibia; Anura; Megophryidae.
UUGGUCAGGGGACUGGCUUCUGGAUCCUGCAUUCUUCUGGCUGUGGGUCUGUACCAGACAGCCUUAACCUGGACCUAGAGUAGCCAGGUCGGACCCACCUGUGUCGGCCUGAGCAGUUACAGGUGUGAACACAUUACAGUAUAUUGUGCUCAUGUAUAGUACUGCACACAGCU